This 810-nucleotide non-coding RNA is filed under the name Pongo abelii (Sumatran orangutan). The record is from RNAcentral. Lineage: Eukaryota; Metazoa; Chordata; Mammalia; Primates; Hominidae.
GACACUCUUUCUGAAGACCAGCAAACUGGCUUAUAAGUUUUUGGCUGACUUAAUAUGUGAGCUGACAGAAUGCAGAGACGACCACGUUGUAUGUGAAGCAUCCACUUUGCCUUGUACACCAGGGCAUUCAAUAACCACUUAAUAACUACAACCCUGAUGAUCCGAUUCACUACUAAAGUCUUCCGUGUUUAAAUUUUCAAAGUCAGAUUCUCCUACAGCAAUUGGCCCAAUUCCCCUUACUAGAGGCAACCACUGCUACUUAUCUCCCAUAUAUAUUUCCAGGAGUGAUGGUGAGGAGGAAUUGUGCCAGCUUGCUUCUUCACUGCCAUUUUGGAACCAGAACUCAGAACCUGAGAAAGAUGAAUGAAAUUUAGUGUUUCCCAUCCCCGAGAGACACCCAGCAUCCACAACUUCACACUCUGAUGCCAUUGUGUAUUUAUGCAAGGAAUACCAUAACUAAGAUGAGGUCUCGCUAUGUUGCCUAGGCUAGUCUUGAACUCCUGGCCUCAAGUGAUCCUUUUGCCUCAGCAUCCGGAGUCACUGGGAUUAAAGGCAUGAGCCACCGUGCUCAGAAUACAAACAAAGACCCAUUUUUCUAGAAGAAGUAACGGGGAAGACAGAGUAAGAAAGAGAUAAUGAUGAACAUUGUCUAAUGUUACAGCAUAAUCUAGUAAGGAACUUGACAUCAUCAGACAGUAAAUCAAGAGGUACUGACAACUGAGACUGAGUGAUGGUCCCUGCCUAGGAUUUGGAAUCUUUGCAUGAAAUAGGGACUCUAGCCACCAGCGACAAAGAAGUCAGGGAGACUGU